Molecule: long non-coding RNA, 355 nt
Filed under: Capra hircus (goat)
Lineage: Eukaryota; Metazoa; Chordata; Mammalia; Artiodactyla; Bovidae
Description: lncRNA (ENSCHIG00000005915.1)
Source: RNAcentral
AUCAGGUUUCCUCCUGGUCCCUCCGUAAGCAGAGAGUAAAGGCUGAGGGAGCCGCCCUGGGACAGGGCUCCCCAGAGCGGACAGCCAGAAUCACGACUCCACACAGAGGCCAUCCUGGGACCUUAAGACUACGCAGGAAGACCCCAAACCUCUCUUCAGUAGCCACAAGUCCAAGCCAACAGAGAGUUCCAGAGAACCGCAGAGGCAUGGGUGUGCUCAUUACACCCUGAGUGGAACAGGGAACAGUCACCUGAAGAGUUUCUGGGGUGAAUUCUUAAGGAAAGAAUAUACAUCUUUAGCCUACUCACUUUGUUUGGAAUUUUGUCAGAGUUUUUUUUUUUUUUUAAAUCCCAAA